CAGCAGCCGCGUGACGGAGACUCCUGACUCCCAGGCCCGUGCUCUACCCACUAGGCCGUGUCCCAGUGCUGCCCUUGUGGCUGAAAGUGACGUCGAAUUGGUGGAGUCGAUGGGUCAUCCGGGGAACUUCCUAAGUCUCUUUUGCAAAUCCCACCCCUGCGGAGGACUCGCGCCGAAGGCGUCCUGCCUGCUCCUGGGGGGUGAAGCACCUGAAGAACCAGAGCGACUCGGCUGUCCCGGAAGAAGAAGAGGGAGCGAAUGAAAGAGGAGGACCGUGGGACCACUAGUUCCAGAGCGGUGACCCAGUAGGUCCUUGGAAUAACUGGACUGGUAAUCUUUGACACCCAACCAAAGAACUCCAUCGCUUGACUUCCUGAACUCCGCCUCAGCAGACCACAGUAAAAGUCGAAAUCUUCCUCCUGGAAUUGUUCCUUGACUGGUAUUUAAAUCCAUGUGCAAUUUGUUCCUUAUAACCAAAGAAUAGAUGUUUAUUUUCCAGUAGUUUUUCCUCCCUCACAACUUAGAAAGGCCACCCGCAAACAUGUUCGUGAUUUUGUGUGACUACUGCCAGAGCUAGAGACCUGAUUUGCCCUUCUAAUGUGAUUCGCGUUCUAAGGUCAACUGUAAAUACAGUCGUACGGAUUUAAGAGAUACACAAUAAAUAAUCGAUCCAUUUAGACAAGGUUGUGUGUCUGCCUCUAAGAUGGGUAAAUGUGCUGAGUGAAAGCAGAACCGAGCGGUCAAAAAUGGCAUUUCUCAGUGUAGGCCUUUCUGUCAGCAUCGGCUACUCAGCUCAGGACAGAGUAGAGCUGUCUGCCUUGUGGAACUGACAAGUUCACUUUGCCGUAAUAACAGUGAUGAUAAUAAUUGUGGUAAUUGUUAAGUGCUUGCUCUGUGUAAAGCACUCUACUAAGUGCCGGGGCAGAUACAUGAUGAUCAAGUCCCAUUUGGAACUCACAGUCUAAGUAGAAGGGAGAUGAGGGAUUGAAUUCCCAUUUUGCAGAUGAGGGAAGUGAGGCACAGAGAAGUUGAGUGACUUGCCCAAAGUCACAGAGCAGACCUUUGGAGGAGACAGCAUUAGAACCCAGGUCCUCUGACUCCCAGGCCCAUGUCCUUUCCAUUAAGCCACAGUCCUUCUCAUAGCGGUAGUCCCUGACACUUUAAAAAAGCUAAAGUCUUUCCUUCUGACAACAUUUCAGUGGCAAUGAAAAGUGAUCAUGUGAUCCACCACCAUUUCCUGUCAAUCUAGAGAAAAAGGUGUGGAAAGUAGGGGAGAAGGUGAGUUCAAGAAGAAAGUGUCAGGCUUGAGCUUUUGCCCAACUUUUCAAGAUUGUUGGUAGGCUAGUCUGUGUAGAGUGACA
RNAcentral lists this long non-coding RNA (1361 nucleotides) under Ornithorhynchus anatinus (platypus). RNAcentral's name for it is "lncRNA (ENSOANG00000044440.1)". Lineage: Eukaryota; Metazoa; Chordata; Mammalia; Monotremata; Ornithorhynchidae. The record is from RNAcentral.